AGAGUUUGAUCCUGGCUCAGAUUGAACGCUGGCGGCAGGCCUAACACAUGCAAGUCGAACGGUAACAGGAAGCAGCUUGCUGCUUUGCUGACGAGUGGCGGACGGGUGAGUAAUGUCUGGGAAACUGCCCGAUGGAGGGGGAUAACUACUGGAAACGGUAGCUAAUACCGCAUAACGUCGCAAGACCAAAGAGGGGGACCUUCGGGCCUCUUGCCAUCGGAUGUGCCCAGAUGGGAUUAGCUAGUUGGUGAGGUAACGGCUCACCAAGGCGACGAUCCCUAGCUGGUCUGAGAGGAUGACCAGCCACACUGGAACUGAGACACGGUCCAGACUCCUACGGGAGGCAGCAGUGGGGAAUAUUGCACAAUGGGCGCAAGCCUGAUGCAGCCAUGCCGCGUGUAUGAAGAAGGCCUUCGGGUUGUAAAGUACUUUCAGCGGGGAGGAAGGGGAUGUGGUUAAUAACCGCAUCCAUUGACGUUACCCGCAGAAGAAGCACCGGCUAACUCCGUGCCAGCAGCCGGCGGUAAUA
This 529-nucleotide ribosomal RNA is filed under the name uncultured bacterium. RNAcentral describes it as "bacterial SSU rRNA". It matches the Rfam family "Bacterial small subunit ribosomal RNA", at positions 8 to 525 of the family's 1533-position model. The record is from RNAcentral.